CCUACGGGAGGCAGCAGUGGGGAAUUUUGGACAAUGGGCGCAAGCCUGAUCCAGCAAUGCCGCGUGAGUGAAGAAGGCCUUCGGGUUGUAAAGCUCUUUUGUCAGGGAAGAAACGGUGUGGGCUAAUAUCCCGCACUAAUGACGGUACCUGAAGAAUAAGCACCGGCUAACUACGUGCCAGCAGCCGCGGUAAUACGUAGGGUGCAAGCGUUAAUCGGAAUUACUGGGCGUAAAGCGUGCGCAGGCGGUUUUGUAAGUUUGUCGUGAAAUCCCCGGGCUCAACCUGGGAAUGGCGAUGAAGACUGCAAGGCUAGAAUCUGGCAGAGGGGGGUAGAAUUCCACGUGUAGCAGUGAAAUGCGUAGAGAUGUGGAGGAACACCGAUGGCGAAGGCAGCCCCCUGGGUCAAGAUUGACGCUCAUGCACGAAAGCGUGGGGAGCAAACAGGAUUAGAUACCCUGGUAGUCCACGCCCUAAACGAUGUCUACUAGUUGUCGGGUUUUAAUUAACUUGGUAACGCAGCUAACGCGUGAAGUAGACCGCCUGGGGAGUACGGUCGCAAGAUUAAAACGUCAAAAUGAAAUUGAGGCUGAGAGNGACGAGACGACGACGAGGGAGAGG
Molecule: ribosomal RNA, 619 nt
Filed under: uncultured bacterium
Lineage: Bacteria
Description: bacterial SSU rRNA
Rfam family: Bacterial small subunit ribosomal RNA
Source: RNAcentral